Molecule: ribosomal RNA, 524 nt
Filed under: Candidatus Bathyarchaeota archaeon
Lineage: Archaea; Thermoproteati; Candidatus Bathyarchaeota
Description: bacterial SSU rRNA
Rfam family: Archaeal small subunit ribosomal RNA
Source: RNAcentral
CAACUCCGCUUGAUCCUGGCGGACCCAACUGCUAUCGGGAUGAGACUAAGCCAUGCGAGUCAAACGCUUCCAGGCCAAUGUGGGAGCGUGGCAUACGGCUCAGUAACACGUGGCUAACCUACCCUCCGGACUGGGACAACUUCGGGAAACUGAGGCUAAUCCCGGAUAGACGAAGAGGCCUGGAAUGGUUCUCCGUCUAAAGGGCAUCAGGGCCAUGCUUCCUGAUGUCGCCAGAGGAUGGGGCCGCGACCGAUCAGGUUGUUGGUGAGGUAACGGCUCACCAAGCCUAUAACCGGUACGGGCCGUGAGAGCGGGAGCCCGGAGAUGGGCACUGAGACAAGGGCCCAGGCCCUACGGGGCGCAGCAGGCGCGAAACCUCUGCAAUGCGCGAAAGCGUGACAGGGUCAUCCCGAGUGCCAUCCGCUGAGGAAGGCUUUUGUCCGGUCUAACCAGCCGGAAGAAUAAGGGGAGGGCAAGUCUGGUGUCAGCCGCCGCGGUAAUACCAGCUCCUCGAGUGGUUGGGA